GGGGGUGUAAAGGUUUCGACGGGGAUUUUGCAGUAUAGGAAGCGAGUAGCGGUGCGGAACCGCUUUAAAAUCCGUACAAAAAAUUAACUAACAACAAUAAAGUUGCUUUAGCAGCCUAAUUUGGCUGCUCAUCCGAGUCGGAAUUACCGUGAGCCGAUAAGGGUGUCAUUUUAGCGGUGAACGUGAACUGAGAAUUGUCCCCUUUUCAGUCACGCAGUAGGGACUUUCCGAUAUAUUAGCCUGAUGUUCGGCGAAUAUUGAGGGAAUUUAAAAGAACAUCUGCACUCGGAGAUGCCUAUAUGAAUAGAUUUUCGGACGGGGGUUCAAUUCCCCCCACCUCCACCA
This 345-nucleotide transfer-messenger RNA is filed under the name Clostridia bacterium. It matches the Rfam family "transfer-messenger RNA". Rfam says of the family: Bacterial tmRNA, also known as 10Sa RNA or SsrA, is named for its dual tRNA and mRNA-like properties. Lineage: Bacteria; Bacillati; Bacillota; Clostridia. RNAcentral also lists the same sequence under 1 other name. The record is from RNAcentral.